AAACAUUAAACUUUAAACCUAUUCAUCUUACAUAUGAAGUUCAGUCCUAACAGAGACACAUAAUCAUUAAACAUCCUUCAGAAACCAUGGCUAUAAGAUUCAAGAUCUAUUUAACUUAACCGGCAUUAAAAGUACAAUAUUGACACCCUUUUCAAUUUUAGCCAUAUACAAAUUUUA
Ipomoea nil (Japanese morning glory) is the source of this 177-nucleotide long non-coding RNA. RefSeq lists it as uncharacterized. The transcript is spliced from 3 exons. NCBI's taxonomy places the organism in Eukaryota, Viridiplantae, Streptophyta, Magnoliopsida, Solanales, Convolvulaceae. The record is from RefSeq and is a predicted model, not a curated record.